CAGCCGCCACGGUAAUACGAAGGGGGCUAGCGUUGUUCGGAAUUACUGGGCGUAAAGCGCACGUAGGCGGAUAUUUAAGUCAGGGGUGAAAUCCCAGAGCUCAACUCUGGAACUGCCUUUGAUACUGGGUAUCUUGAGUAUGGAAGAGGUGAGUGGAAUUCCGAGUGUAGAGGUGAAAUUCGUAGAUAUUCGGAGGAACACCAGUGGCGAAGGCGGCUCACUGGUCCAUUACUGACGCUGAGGUGCGAAAGCGUGGGGAGCAAACAGGAUUAGAUACCCCAGUAGUCCCUGUCUCUUAUAC
Molecule: ribosomal RNA, 301 nt
Filed under: uncultured bacterium
Lineage: Bacteria
Description: partial 16S ribosomal RNA
Rfam family: Bacterial small subunit ribosomal RNA
Source: RNAcentral